This 492-nucleotide ribosomal RNA is filed under the name uncultured bacterium. RNAcentral describes it as "partial 16S ribosomal RNA". It matches the Rfam family "Bacterial small subunit ribosomal RNA", at positions 29 to 507 of the family's 1533-position model. The record is from RNAcentral.
AGUGAACGCUGGCGGUAGGCCUAACACAUGCAAGUCGAACGGCAGCACAGUAAGAGCUUGCUCUUACGGGUGGCGAGUGGCGGACGUGUGAGGAAUACAUCGGAAUCUACUUUUUCGUGGGGGAUAACGUAGGGAAACUUACGCUAAUACCGCAUCCGACCUACGGGUGAAAGCAUGGGAUCUUCGGACCUUGCGCGAUUGAAUGAGCCGAUGUCGGAUUAGCUAGUUGGCGGGGUAAAGGCCCACCAAGGCGACGAUCCGUAGCUGGUCUGAGAGGAUGAUCAGCCACACUGGAGCUGAGACACGGACAAGACGACUACGGGAGGCAGCAGUGGGGAAUAUUGGACAAUGGGCGCAAGCCUGAUCCAGCCAUACCGCGUGGGUGAAGGAGGCCUUCGGGUUGUAAAGACCUUUUGUUGGGAAAGAAAAGCAGCAGGUUAAUACCCCGCUGUUCUGACGGUACCCAAAGAAUAAGCACCGGCUAACUUCGUG